GGUAGUAAAAGUCGUAACAAGGUUUCCGUAGGUGAACCUGCGGAAGGAUCAUUAUCGUACAAAAUGUGAGGGGCAUGCGAGGGCUGUCGCUGACCCGAAAGUCGUGCACGCCCGAGUGUGUCCUCUUGCAUAAUAAUCCAUCUCACCCUUUGUGCAUCACCGCGUGGGCACCCUUCGGGAUCAUCUCGGAGGGGGGCUCGCGUUUUCACACAAACCCUCCUUUUAAAAGUGUAGAAUGACCACAUUUAUGCAAUCAAUACAACUUUCAACAACGGAUCUCUUGGCUCUC
RNAcentral lists this unclassified non-coding RNA (289 nucleotides) under plant metagenome. Its description in RNAcentral is "partial contains small subunit ribosomal RNA, internal transcribed spacer 1, and 5.8S ribosomal RNA". The stretch from base 1 to 54 matches the Rfam family "Eukaryotic small subunit ribosomal RNA", at positions 1778 to 1831 of the family's 1831-position model. The record is from RNAcentral.